RNAcentral lists this ribosomal RNA (704 nucleotides) under uncultured bacterium. RNAcentral's name for it is "partial 16S ribosomal RNA". The stretch from base 2 to 527 matches the Rfam family "Bacterial small subunit ribosomal RNA", at positions 9 to 873 of the family's 1533-position model. The record is from RNAcentral.
AGAGUUUGAUCCUGGCUCAGAACGAACGCUGGCGGCAGGCCUAACACAUGCAAGUCGAGCGCUGUAGCAAUACAGAGCGGCGCACGGGUGAGUAACACGUGGGAACGUGCCCUAUGGUUCGGAAUAACUCAGGGAAACUUGAGCUAAUACCGGAUAAGCCCUUCGGGGGAAAGAUUUAUCGCCAUUGGAGCGGCCCGCGUUGGAUUAGCUAGUUGGUGGGGUAAUGGCCUACCAAGGCUGCGAUCCAUAGCUGGUUUGAGAGAACGACCAGCCACACUGGGACUGAGACACGGCCCAGACUCCUACGGGAGGCAGCAGUGGGGAAUCUUGGACAAUGGGGGAAACCCUGAUCCAUCCAUGCCGCGUGAGUGAUGAAGGCCCUAGGGUUGUAAAACUCUUUUCGGCGGGGACGAUAAUGACGGUNCCCGCAGAAGAAGCUCCGGGUAACUCCGNGCCAGUCAGCCGGCGGGUAAUACNGANGGGGGCUUNGCGUNGUUNCGGAAUUACUUGGGNCGUAAAGCGNCGCCCANGGCGGUCNUUUCAUGUCCGGGGGCUGACAGGCCCAGGGNCUCNNCCCUUGGGAANGGCCUUUCUGNGACUUNCAGGAGUUGUGUACGUGGAUNGGUCNCGNCGANAUUCGGCGUGUAGAGGUGAANUUCCGUANANAUGUNNGGNANAGCNCCANUUGNNNAANNGUGGGCUCA